GACGAACGCUGGCGGCGUGCUUAACACAUGCAAGUCGAACGGAAAGGCCUCUUUCGGGGGGUACUCGAGUGGCGAACGGGUGAGUAACACGUGAGUAACCUGCCCUUGACUUUGGGAUAACUUCUGGAAACAGGGGCUAAUACCGGAUAGGAGCUCCUGCUGCAUGGUGGGGGUUGGAAAGUUUCGGCGGUUGGGGUUGGACUCGCGGCUUAUCAGCUUGUUGGUGGGGGAGUGGCUUACCAAGGCUGUGACGGGUAGCCGGCCUGAGAGGGUGACCGGCCGCAUUGGGGCUUAGAUACGGCCCAGACGCCUACGGGAGGCAGCAGGGGGGAAUAUUUCACAAUGGGUGGAAGCCUGAUGCAGCAACGCCGUGUGCGGGAUGACGGCCUUCGGGUUGUAAACCGCUUUCGCUCAUGACGAAGCUUUGUGUGACGGUAGUGGGUAAAGAAGCACCGGCUAACUACGUG
Molecule: ribosomal RNA, 467 nt
Filed under: uncultured bacterium
Lineage: Bacteria
Description: partial 16S ribosomal RNA
Rfam family: Bacterial small subunit ribosomal RNA
Source: RNAcentral